RNAcentral lists this ribosomal RNA (500 nucleotides) under uncultured bacterium. RNAcentral describes it as "bacterial SSU rRNA". It matches the Rfam family "Bacterial small subunit ribosomal RNA", at positions 21 to 518 of the family's 1533-position model. The record is from RNAcentral.
GGCUCAGGACAAACGCUGGCGGCGUGCCUAACACAUGCAAGUCGAACGAAGCACUGUGGAAAGAGACUCGGUCAAUUGAAACUUGACUUAGUGGCGGACGGGUGAGUAAUGCAUGAGCAACCUGCCCUGGAGAGGGGGGACAACAGCUGGAAACGGCUGCUAAUACCGCAUGAUGUCACCGGGAGGCAUCUUCUGGUGACCAAAGAUUUAUCGCUCUGGGAUGGGCUCAUGUCUGAUUAGAUAGUUGGCGGGGCAACGGCCCACCAAGUCUGCGAUCAGUAGCCGGACUGAGAGGUUGAACGGCCACAUUGGGACUGAGAUACGGCCCAGACUCCUACGGGAGGCAGCAGUGGGGAAUAUUGGGCAAUGGGCGCAAGCCCUGACCCAGCAACGCCGCGUGAAGGAAGAAGGCUUUCGGGUUGUAAACUUCUUUUAUCAGGGACGAAGAACGUGACGGUACCUGAUGAAUAAGCCACGGCUAACUACGUGCCAGCCGCCGC